RNAcentral lists this ribosomal RNA (274 nucleotides) under uncultured bacterium. Its description in RNAcentral is "partial 16S ribosomal RNA". It matches the Rfam family "Bacterial small subunit ribosomal RNA", at positions 523 to 796 of the family's 1533-position model. The record is from RNAcentral.
AUACGGAGGGUGCAAGCGUUACUCGGAAUCACUGGGCGUAAAGCGCGCGCAGGCGGCUAUUUAAGUUGGAUGUGAAAGCCUACGGCUCAACCGUAGAACUGCAUCCAAAACUAUUUAGCUAGAGUGUGGGAGAGGAAGAUGGAAUUAGUUGUGUAGGGGUAAAAUCCGUAGAGAUAACUAGGAAUACCAAAAGCGAAGGCAAUCUUCUGGAACACUACUGACGCUGAGGCGCGAAAGCGCGGGGAGCAAACAGGAUUAGAAACCCCAGUAGUCC